AACUUUCGAAUGGUAGAAUGCUCUUGUCUACGAACUUGUAGCAUUAUGAUUAACCAAUUUGUAUAGGAAGAUCUGAUGC
Small nucleolar RNA from Cucurbita moschata (crookneck pumpkin), 79 nucleotides. RefSeq annotates it as small nucleolar RNA snoR64a. The transcript has a single exon. The record is from RefSeq and is a predicted model, not a curated record. Lineage: Eukaryota; Viridiplantae; Streptophyta; Magnoliopsida; Cucurbitales; Cucurbitaceae.